UGUGCCAGCCGCCGCGGUAAUACGUAGGGUGCGAGCGUUGUCCGGAAUUACUGGGCGUAAAGGGCUCGUAGGUGGUUUGUCGCGUCGUCUGUGAAAUUCCGGGGCUUGACUCCAGGCGUGCAGGCGAUACGGGCAUAACUUGAGUACUGUAGGGGUAACUGGAAUUCCUGGUGUAGCGGUGAAGUGCGCAGAUAUCAGGAGGAACACCGAUGGCGAAGGCAGGUUACUGGGCAGUUACUGACGCUGAGGAGCGAAAGCAUGGGUAGCGAACAGGAUUAGAU
This 281-nucleotide ribosomal RNA is filed under the name uncultured Actinomycetales bacterium. Its description in RNAcentral is "partial 16S ribosomal RNA". It matches the Rfam family "Bacterial small subunit ribosomal RNA", at positions 504 to 783 of the family's 1533-position model. Lineage: Bacteria; Bacillati; Actinomycetota; Actinomycetes; Actinomycetales. The record is from RNAcentral.